AUUGAACGCUGGCGGCAGGCUUAACACAUGCAAGUCGAGCGGUAACAGAGAGAAGCUUGCUUCUCUGCUGACGAGCGGCGGACGGGUGAGUAAUGCCUAGGAAUCUGCCUAGUAGUGGGGGAUAACUUGCCGAAAGGUAAGCUAAUACCGCAUACGUCCUACGGGAGAAAGGAGGGGACCUUCGGGCCUUUCGCUAUUAGAUGAGCCUAGGUCGGAUUAGUUAGUUGGUGAGGUAAUGGCUCACCAAGACCGCGAUCCGUAACUGGUCUGAGAGGAUGAUCAGUCACACUGGAACUGAGACACGGUCCAGACUCCUACGGGAGGCAGCAGUGGGGAAUAUUGGACAAAGGGGGGAACCCUGAUCCAGCCAUGCCGCGUGUGUGAAGAAGGUCUUAGGAUUGUAAAGCACUUUAAGUUGGGAGGAAGAGCAGUUAACUAAUAUUUGACUGUUUUGACGUUACCGACAGAAUAAGCACCGGCUAACUUCGUG
This 490-nucleotide ribosomal RNA is filed under the name uncultured bacterium. RNAcentral's name for it is "partial 16S ribosomal RNA". It matches the Rfam family "Bacterial small subunit ribosomal RNA", at positions 30 to 507 of the family's 1533-position model. The record is from RNAcentral.